This is a long non-coding RNA of Hirundo rustica (Barn swallow), 340 nucleotides long. RefSeq lists it as uncharacterized. The transcript has 4 exons. NCBI's taxonomy places the organism in Eukaryota, Metazoa, Chordata, Aves, Passeriformes, Hirundinidae. The record is from RefSeq and is a predicted model, not a curated record.
AGGACUAAUUCUUUCUGAAGCAAACCCGGGGAGUCAAUUGUGGAUUUGGCAGGAGAUGCCAAGCUCUUAAAAACACAGUGGGAGAGGCUGCUGGGGUGAGCCACUUCCAGUCAGCAUGAGCUGGAACUGAGUUACUUAUCAUUUGAAAUCUCACAGGGAAAACAGCACUGUGUAGAACGAACAAGGAACAACCAAUUAAACUUGGAUCCUUCUUUUAGCUCACUGAUGACUCCCUGUGUCUAAAAUGCUAACACCCUCAUGAUCUCCAGGGACUGAAGCCCCCCUUCUCCUGAGAUCACUUGGAGGUGUGUGACAAGAGGAUCCAACAUGGGGAGAGGAG